RNAcentral lists this long non-coding RNA (5361 nucleotides) under Olea europaea subsp. europaea. The record is from RNAcentral. Lineage: Eukaryota; Viridiplantae; Streptophyta; Magnoliopsida; Lamiales; Oleaceae.
GUUCUUCAUAUGUACAAUUUUCCUGCUUCUGUUGCUAUCUUUUUGUUUUGUGAAUUAUGCGACCAACCUUUUUAAUGUCCACCGUUUUUCUGAUUAUUUGAUUUAUCAUCUAAAUUAGUGGGUUUGUUCAACCUUGAUUCGAUUUUAUUUCAUGAAUUCUGGUAGUUCUUAAGGAUUAUUUGAUUUCCUAGAGAGUGUCAUUAAAAAGGUUCAAGUUUUGAGACCAUGAGUAGUUUAUUUUCUCAGAUUAUUAUGUUAUGAUGGUGCUCAUCUGCUAAUGUCAAAAGGUCUUCCAUUGAAUCCGGUAUAUGUGCUAGUUUUGCCCCAUUUCGUUUGUUGUCUGGAUGAUGCCCAUAGAGUACCACUCUUGCAAGAAGUGUAUUUGAUAAUGCCUAAAAUGAAGGGAUACCUGCAAAAUAGAUAUAUAGAAAAAUUCGCUUUUACCUGCUCAAUCUAGUUACUCUCACUAACUCUUUUCUCUUGUCAAUAUUUUCUUUCAAAGAGCUGGCCUUCAUAAUGUAUACCCUGUACGUUUUGCACAGCCCUAUUUUCUUUAACAUUUCCUUUCAUUCAGCGCCUCAGAUUUUCAUUGCUGUGAUCCGAAUUCCAUAGAUUUGAUUUUUGGGUUUUUGAGAUUCUGCCAAUUAAUUGAUAUUCUUAGUAUUUUUUGAAAUCUCCGUUUUACUUACUUGUGUUUGGAUUUUCAUAUGUACAAUUUUCCUGCUUUCGUUGCCAUCUUUUUGUUUUGUGAAUAAUGUGACGAACUUUUUCAAUGUCCACCGUUUUUUGGAUUAUUUGAUUUAUCAUCUAAAAUUAUGGAUUCGUUCAUCCUGGAUUCAAUUUUAUUUCCUAAAUUCGGGUAGUUCUUAAAGAUUAUUUGAUUCCCUAGAGAGUGUCAUAAAAAAGUUUAAGUUUUGGGAUUUCCAGGUCCCUUUGACCAUGAGUAGUUUGUUUUCUCAGAUUAUUAUGUUAUGAUGGUGCUCGUCUGCUAAUGUCAAAAGGUCUUCCAUUGAAUCAGGUAGAUGUGCUAGUUUUUCCCCAUUUUGUUUAUCAUCUAGAUGAUGUCCGUAGAAUACCACUCUUGCAAGAAGUAAGGAUACAUGCAAAAUAUAUAGAAGAAGAAUUCGCCUUUACCUGCUAAAUCUUAUUACUCACGUUAAUCCUUUCUCUCGUCAAUAUUUUUCCACCAAGAAGCUGGCACCCGUAAUGUACACCCUGUACGUUUAGCAACCUUUCCUACCAUUCGGCGCUUCAUAUUUUCAUUGCUGUGAUCCGUAUUCCAUAUAUUUGGUUUCUGGGAUAUUGAGACUCUACCAAUCAAUUGAUAAUCUUGGUAUUUUUCGAAAUCUCUGUUUCUCUUACUUAUUUUUGGGUUUUCAUAUGUACAAUUUUCCUGCUUCUAUUGCCAUCUUUUUGUUUUGUGAAUUAUGUGACCAACUUCUUCAAUGUCUACCAUUUUUUGAAUUAUUUGAUUUAUCAUCUAAAAUUAUGGGUUCGUUCAUCCUGGAUUCAAUUUUAUUUUCUGAAUUCUGGUAAUCCUUAAGGAUUAUUUGAUUUCAUGGAGAGUGUCAUUAAAAAGGACCAUGAGUAGUUUAUUUUCUCAGAUUAUUAUGUUAUGAUGGUGCUCAUCUAUUAAUGUCAAAAGGUCUCCCAUUGAACCAAGUAGAUGUGCUAGUUUUUCCCCAUUUUGUUUGUCAUCUAGAUGAUGCCCAUAGAGUAUCGCUCUUAUAGAAAGUGUAUCUGAUAAUGCCAAAAAUGUAGGGAUGCCUGCAAAAUGGAUAAUAGAAUAAUUUGCCUUUACCUGCUCAUUCUAAUUAUUCAUGUUAAUCCCUCUCUCAUCAAUAUUUUCUUUUAAAAAGCUAACCCCCACAACGUACAUUCUGUACGUUUAGUACAACCCUAUUUUUUUGACAUUUCCUUCCAUUCGACGCCUCAGAUUUUCAUUGCUGCGCUCCAAAUUCCAUAGAUUUGGUUUCUGGGUUUUGAGACUCUGCUAAUUAAUUGAUAAUCUUGGUAUUUUCCAAAAUCUCUAGUUUUCUUACUUGUUUUUGGGUUUUCAUAUGUACAAUUUUCCUGCCUCUAUUGCUAUCUUUUCGUUUUGUGUAUUAUGCGACCAACUUUUUCAAUGUCCACCGUUUUUUGGAUUAUUUGAUUUAUCAUCUAAAAUAGUGGGUUCGUUCAACCUGGAUUCGGUUGUAUUACCCUAAUUCUGGUAGUUCUUAAGGAAUAUUUGAUUUCCUAGAGAGUGUCAUUAAAAAGGUUUAAGUUUUGGGAUAUCAAGUCACUUUGAUCAUGUGUAGUUUAUUUUCUCUGAUUAUUAUGUUUAAUGGUGCUCAUCUACUGAUGUCAAAAGGUCUUCCAUUGAAUCGGUAUAUGUGUUAGUUUUCCCCCAUUUCGUUUGUCGUCUGGAUGAUGCGCAUAGAGUACCACUCUUGUAGGAAGUGUAUUUGCUGAUGCUUAAAAAAUGUAGGGAUGCCUGCAAAAUAGAUAGAUAGAAGAAUUCGCCUUUACCUGCUCAAUCUAAUUACUCUCGCUAACUCCACUUUCUUCAAUAAUUUCUUCCAAAAAGUUGGUCCCCGUAACAUACACCCUGUACAUUUAGCACAGCCCUAUUUUCUUUAACCUUUCCUUCCAUUCGGCGCUUCAGAUUUUCAUUGCUGUGAUCUGAAUUUCAUAGAUUUGGUUUCUGGGUUUUUGAGAUUCUUCCAAUUAAUUGAUAUUCUUCGUAUUUUUGGAAUCUCUGUUUUACUUACUUGUCUUUGGAUUUUCAUACGUAAAAUUUUCCUGCUUCUAUUGCCAUCUUUUUGUUUUGUGAAUUAUGUGACCAACCUUUUCAAUGUCCACUAUUUUUCGGAUUAUUUGAUUUAUCAUCUAAAAUUAUGGGUUCGUUCAUCUUGGGUUGGAUUAUUUGAUUUUCUGGAGAGUGUCAUUAAAAAGGACCACGAGUAGUUUAUUAUCUCAGAUUAUUAUAUUAUGAUGUUGCUCAUCUACUAAUAUCAAAAGGUUUUCCAUUGAAUCAAUUAGAUGUACCAGUUAUCCCCCCAUUUUGUUUGUCAUCUGGAUGAUGCCCAUAGAGUGCCACUCUUAUAGGAAGUAUAUUUGAUAAUGUCUAAAAUAUAAGGAUACUUGCAAAGUAGAUAAAAGAAGAAUUCACCUUUAACUGCUCAAUCUAAUUACUCACUUUAACUCCUCUCUCGUCAAUAUUUUCAUCUAAAAAGCUGGCCCCCACAACGUACACUUUAUACGUUUAGCGCAACCUUAUUUUUUUGGCCUUUCCUUCCAUUCACCUCAAAUUUUCAUUGCGUUGCUCCGAAUUUCAUAGAUUUGGUUUCUGGGUUUUUAAGACUCUGCCAAUUAAUUGAUAAUCUUGGUAUUUUUCGAAAUCUAUGUUUUUCUUACUAAUUUUUGGGUUAUAUGUACAAUUUUCCUGCUUUUGUUUCCAUCCUUGUUUUGUGAAUUAUGUGACCUACUUUUUCAAUGUCCACCAUUUUCCAUAUUAUUUGAUUUAUCAUCUAAAAUUAUGGGUUCGUUCAUCCUGGAUUUGAUUUUAUUUCCUGAAUUCUGGUAAUUCCGAAGGAUUGUUUGAUUUCCUGGAUAGCGUCAUUCAAAAGGUUUUAGUUUUGGGAAUUCCAGGUCCCUUUGACCACGAAUAGUUUAUUUUCUCAGAUUAUGAUGUUAUGAUGGUGCUCAUCUGCUUAUGUCAGAGAGUCUUCCAUUGAAUCUGGUAGUGUACCAGUUUUUCCCCAUUUUGUUUGUCAUCUGGAUGAUGCCCAUAGAGUACCACUCUAGCAGGAAGUGUAUUUGGCAAUGCCUAAACUGUAGGGAUGCGAGCAAUAUAGAUAGAUGAAGAAUUCACCUUUACCUGCUCACGUUACCCCUCUCUCGUCAAUAUUUCCAAGAAGCUCUCCCUGAUAACAUACACCCUGUAUGUUUAGCACAACCCUAUUUUCUUUAACCAUUCCUUCCAUUCAACGCCUCCGUUUUUCAUUUCUGUGAUCUAAAUUUCAUAGAUUUGGUUUCUGAAUUUUUGAGACUCUACCAAGUAAUUGAUAAUCUUGGUAAUUUCUGAAAUCUCUAUUUUUCUUACUUGUUUUUGGGUUUUCAUAUGUACAGUUUUCCUGCUUUUGUUGGCAUCUUUUUGUUUUGUGAAUUAUGUGACCAACUUUUUCAAUGUUCACCGUUUUCUUGAUUAUUUGAUUUAUCAUCUAAAAUUAUGGGUUCGUUCAUCCUAGAUUUGAUUUUAUUUCCUGAAUUCUGGAAGUUCUUAAAGAUUAUUUGAUUUCGUGGAGAGUGACAUUAAAAAAGGUUUAAGUUUUGGGCUUGGAACCAUGAGUAGUUUAUUUUCUCAGAUUAUUGUGUUAUGAUGGUGCUCAUCUGCUAAUGUCGAAAGGUCUUCCAUUGAAUCAGAUAGAUGUGCUAGUUUUCCCCCAUUUUGUUUGUCACCACUCUUGCAGGAAGUGUAUUUGAUAAUGCUUAAAAUGUAGGGAUACUGCAAAGCAGAUAGGAGAAGAAUUUCUUUUGUAGUUGGGUGAUGUAUCACCAUAGAUCAUUUUUGCUAGACCUAUUGGAGUUCGGAUAAGAGAGUACGAGGGCCAAAAGGUUAAGUGGUGGUGUUCAAUUUUUUUUAAUUAUUAUUAUUAUUUUUUUUAAAUAAUCUUGGUUGUAAUUGUAUAAUGUAUUUAUAGGAUCAUUUCAUACGGUUUUCUUGCAAUGUUGUUUGGCGUAACAAAAUUCAGUUAAGAAGUUGAUAAUUUUUUAGGAACGAUAGUUGUAGCUAGCUAUUUUCGAUGUUUCGGGUGCAGUUAUUCAUUCAAUCAUCAUCAAUGACUAUCUAUGCUGGAGCUUCAAUAUUUUUGAAGUCUAGUAAGAUAGAAUCUUUUUCUAUACACUUUGUUCAAUUUAGUGCUACACGUAUUGAAAUAUCUAGUAGUAACUAGUCCUUAAUUUUGAUUGGAAGUAAAUAAAUCAUUUCUUGUAUUUACUUUGUUGUGGUUCACUCCUGCCAAUAUUUCAACAUCAUGGUUGAUGGGUAAACACUCUAACACUACAUUACAGCAACAGAGGUCUGUAAUUAUGUUCACUGUUUGACAGUGGCAGAAUCAACACCCAGCAAGAGGGCGCGGCCAUGUGUGUUGGCUCCGCCAAAGUCACCGUGGCCGAUGGGAGCCAUUGCAGAAAACUUGAAUCAGAAAAUGUAGACCCUUGAGAAUGAGGACUCGAGGUUGAAGAUGAAAUCAAUUGGAUUGGGCCUUUUUUAGAAUUGGGCCUCUUCCCUCUCUUCUUUUUUUUUUUUUUUUUGGGAAGAAUUCAUAAACCAUGUAUUAACUAUGCACAAUUCAAAGACCAUGUUUUAAGUUUAAC